UUCUUUUACGUUUGUUGAUUGUUUUUGGUGUUGUGCUGGCAUGUCCUUGGGCCACACACACACCCCCAUACCUGCAUCACCUUCUGUUACUCUCUCUCUCUCUCCCGUGCUCCCUUUCCCCUUCCUUUUCACCAUAUACGUACGGACCACACCCAAAACCCCUCAAACGUUUGCAGAUCAAGGGAACCAAGUACACCAUCAAGCUCGUGGGGCUGUGAGGAGCACAGUCGUACCAUUUUCAGCUUGUAGAUGUGUUGGUGAGGUCCCAAGGAGCUUGGGAGUGCAUCGUUGGACGGAAUUGGACGUCGGAUUAGCCUGGUUCGAGUUUGACCGGUUUUGGUAAUUGGUGACAGGUGACACGUAUCCCGAGGACGAGCGUGCUCACGCGAGGCAGGGGGGCUACGACCCUUCCACAUA
This is a long non-coding RNA of Pyrus x bretschneideri (Chinese white pear), 417 nucleotides long. RefSeq lists it as uncharacterized. The record is from RefSeq and is a predicted model, not a curated record. NCBI's taxonomy places the organism in Eukaryota, Viridiplantae, Streptophyta, Magnoliopsida, Rosales, Rosaceae. The transcript has 3 exons.